CGCCCCGGAGGCCUCCGGUCGCCUGGCUCAGCCCCCGGAGGCUGCCGGCCUCCCGGCCCCACCCCGGCAUCCCCUGGCCCUGGCUGACUCGCCACCCCCGACACUGCAGCGCCUGCCGGCCUCGGGGCCCCGCCCUCUGCCUUCGCUCGCGCCGCGCUUCUUCGGUCUCCCCAGGGCCUGUUUCAUGGAUAGGGUCCCCUUGUCCGCGUGAAAAUCUCCUUCCUCCUCAGCUCAGAAACACUCCAAGGUCUCGGCGCCCGAUACUGGCCUUCCCUCAUCCGAAUACCCCUCGUGCCCCUGAUGUACUUUUCCAUUCCCACUCCCUACUCUGGCAGCCUAGCUUCUAAGCUGAGGAGCUUGGCCUUCGCUCCAGGUGCGGAGACUCGUGGAACGCUUUGAUUCGCGCUUAGAAAGAUCGCUCUGCUCCUGUGAGGAGGACGGCGUGUAAGGGCUGCAACCAGAGAGACACAGUCAGAAGCUCCGAGGCUACUGCGAUGGUCCAGGUGCCACAGGACACAGCCUAACAGAGGCCCAGGUUGGAGCCAUGGACCAUGGAGUCAUGAGAAUGGAAGGGAAGCUGACGCCAUGUGGGAUGGGGUAGAACUGUCCGCAAAUUCGUCCCGCCUCUGGAGUCUUCAGACCAGUCAAGGCCGAAAUUCAACCAAGCCUCUCCUCUCGUUGUUGUUUGUAGCACGUGGUCUGGUGGCAUCCUGCAGGAUUUACCAGCUUUUUGCCAACAUUCUGGCCUAUGCAAUCAGUACGUCCCUUCAGGGUUGCACUUGGAUGGAUUGGACCUAUAGUUGUUAUAUAUGGAUAUUGUCUAAAUUAUUUAUGACAGUAUUAACUGACUCCUAUGUUCUGGCCUUCAGAAUUUCUCCUUUGGAUCAAUUACUAGCCUGUCUUACAUUUUCUGCUUCAUUCUUUUAAAAUGUUUAGAGAUGAUUUGCUAACUUCUAAGUUUUCUUCAUUGCUGUCAAUGAUGCAAUUUAAACUGUCAAAAAAUUUUUUUCUCAAGCAGGGUAGUAAUGGUGAACCAUUCUCUUGCUAUUCAGACAGCAUGGUUUAGAUGAGGCGCACCUAUCCCCAGCUCUAGGAAUGGAAACAGGACCCAAGUCUGGCUAACCAGAAAUUGGUUUAGGGUCGGCCCCAUGGUCUGAGCCAGACCAAUGAGAAUUGGUAGAGGGACUUUUCUGGAACUAAAUAAAUGGAUCCUGGCUGGGCGUGGUGGUUCAUGCCUGUAAUCCCAGUACUCUGGGAGGCCGAGGCGGGUGGAUCAUCCGAGGUCAGGAGUUCGGGACCAGCCUGACCAACAUGGUGAAACCCCGUCUCUACUAAAAAUACAAAAUUAGCCGGGCGUGGUGGCGCAUGUCUCUAACCCCAGCUACUCAGGAGGCGGAGGCAAGAGAAUCGCUUGAACCGGGAAGGCGGCGGUUGCAGAGAGCCAAGACCGCGCCAUUGCACUCCAGCCUGGGCGACAGAGCGAAACUCCGUCUCAAAAAAAAAAAAAUUGAUUUUUUUUUCUUUUGCAACUUCUAUUUUAGAAUCGGGGGUACAUAUGCAGGCUUGUUACAGAGGUAUAUUGCAUGGUGCUGAGGUUUGGAGUAUGAACGAAUCCGUCCUUCAGGUAAUGAGCAUAAUACCCAAUAGGUAGUUUCAACCCUUGCCCCCUUCCUCCUUCCCCGCUCUUGUAUUCCCCAGUGUCUGUUGUUCCCAGACAUUGAUCUUUUUCCGCUGUGUUGCUAAGCUGGUAGAAAGGCUGGAGUUGCUGGCAACCAUCUUUGCAACCAUGCAGGGAGAGCUACCUUGGAAAUGAAGCAAGACAAGAAAACAGAUAAAAGGAGACAAAUGUUUGACUUUGUUUGUACAGCUGGAAACCAGCAAUGCUGGAAAUGAGCACUGAAGGCAGUUUAAUGGGUUUGUCACUUGUAACCAAGUGACCCAUGGCAAGCUCACAGAUUUGUAUUGGCAGAAUUCCUCCUUUUAUUUAAAGUGGUACUUUUGGCCAGGCAAGGUGGCUCACACCUGUAAUCCAAAGACUUUGGGAGGCUGAGGCGUGCUGAUCACCCAAAGUCAGAAGUUCGAGAACAGCCUGGCCAAUGUGGCGAAACCCCGUCUCUACUAAAAAUACAAACCAUUAGCUGGUUGCGGCGGCCUUUCUACCAGCUUUUUGUCUCAAAAAAAAAAAGAAAGGUACUUUUGCUUAUCUCUAACCUUCCUCUUCCCCAUAAUUUAACAAUUGCCCAUACUAUCUGUUACUCUGAGCUACUCUCUGCCCCAUUCUCCUCUUAUCCUCAGUUCCCCCCAGGCUGUCAGAGCCAUCUGAAAUGAAAACAUUUAGGCUGGGAAUAGUGGUUCAUGUCUGUAAUCCCAGCACUUUGGGAGGCUGAGGCGGGCGGAUCACCUGAGGUCAGGAGUUCGAGACCACCCUGGCCAACAUGGUGAAACCCCAUCUCUACUAAAAAUACAAAAAUUAGCCAGACAUGGUGGCACAUGCCUCUACUCCCAGCUACUUGGGAGGCUGAGGCAGGAGAAUCGCUUGAACCUAGGAGGCAGGGGUUACAGUGAGCAGAGAUUGAACCACCGCACUCUAGCCUGGGCGACAGAGUGAGACUUUGUCUAAAAAACAUAAAUAAAAUAAAAUGAAAUGAAAACAUUUACUACUUGAAAUCCUUCAGACUCCCCAUCACCUACCUACAGGCAAAACUCUCAAGUUUUUUGUAUGAUUUAACCACUAUCUACCUGUCCAACUUAAAUCUACCCUUCAGUAAUAUUAUACUUGCACCUCCCUGCAUAAACUAUGCUACAAGUUUGGUUAUGCAGUUGCCCACCUUUUAAGGUUCAAGACUUGUCUUCUCCAAAGAGCCACUUCUGCCUCACAGUAAGCUUAGGGCCCGCAACUUACCUGUAACUUUUGUUGCACUUAUGGCCUUUUACAACUAUCAAUUUAUGUAUGUGUCUGUUCUCACUGGUUUAUAAGCUCUCUGAGGACACAGCCUUGCUUGAGUCAUCUGUCAGCAGCCCAAUAUGGGACAAAAAGUGCAUGCAUUGUGAUUACUGAACAGAACUGAUAAAGGCUCAGCAAUUUGCGCUCCAUAGAUCUAAGUUUGAACUUUUCUAGAAAAGGAUUUGCAGGACGAUCUGACCAAUCUUGGGCUUCCAAAUUAGUUCCAACAGUUCUAGUAUUUUUUUUUUUUUGACAGAAGCAAGUAAGUAAGUUUUACUUUGUGAUUAAAACAAAAGUGAAAUGCAUUUAGUCCCAGGAAAUGUCAAUCCUUUCUGCAUCUUACUUUUUUUUUGCUGUGACCUAGAGAUUCUCUUGUUCUCUUCAGUUGUAUUGGUCCAUGAUCACUCAUAGCUUUCAUACAUAUAUAUAUAUAUACAUCUGAAACUCAGAAAAUUCACUAGGUAGGAACUCUUUGGAUGCAUCUCCUUUUUUAACCUCAUCGGGAUGAUUUUUCAUUGCACCAUCAUUUUAUAGAGCUUCCUAGCACUGUUGAGCAUGCCGAAUUUUUGCAAAUGCAAUCCAGAGAAACAGACUUGCUAUAUACUAGCUAUCUGAACUUGUCUGAGCUCAUGUGGCAUGGUCUAAAGAAUACUGAAAUAUUUCUGGCAUACCUCUUAAUUGUAAUCACUUUCUCCAGGUUGCUUUAUGGAUUAAAUGAGAUAAUCUACUAAAGGACUCCAGUAAAAAGCUAAAAAGGUAGCUAGCUUUUGAGGUGCUGUGGCAGACUGGCAUCUAGUGGCCAGCGAUAAAGGUGCAGGCUAGUGUCCACACCUAAGUGGGGACAGUGCAGGCUGUAAUGUCCAUACCUAGUGGGGACAUCAAUGGGGUAUUUGUCAGAGAAGCUCCAUGGCACAGUUUGCACAUUGUUUCUGGCAGUGCAGGUUCAAACCCAGAGUCUGGCUCUCCCAAAGAUUAUCUGAGUUAUUCUAUUAUUUUACAAAGUUUGAAAUAGCCAUUAGAUACCCUUACAAACAUCAUUUUUGUGACUGAUUUUAAGCCUAUUGAAAAUAUCAAAAGAAAUCCAAAACUGAUCGCUAGUUUACCCAUAGCUUAUACAAAAUUAGUAUUAACCAGGCCAGGUGUGGUGGGUCACACCUGUAAUCCCAGCACUUUGGGGCCAGGGGCAGGCGGAUUGCUUGAGCUCAGGAGUUCAAGACCAGCCUGGGCAACAUGGCAAAACUCCAUAUUUACAAAAAAUACAAAAAAUUAGCCGGGCAUGAUGGUGCGUGCUUGUUGUCCCAGCUACUCGGGAGGCUCAGACAGAAGAUCACUUGAGCCUGGGAGGCGGAGGUUGCAGUGAGCCAAGACUGUGCCACUGCACUCCAACCUGGGCAACAGAGACCCCAGCUCAAAAAAGUAAAAUUAGUGUUAACUUGUACUGUUUAGCCACAUGCAUUAAGUUUUUAAUUUUAACUCUACUAUCGCACAACCAGGAAUGUACAAGAGAUCUGGAGCCUGAUUCGCAUGGCAGGAAGGAGACCACGUAUUUUUGUUUGGGAUGGGUUUUAGCCACUAUCAGAGACAUGGUUUGUUUCUUAGGGGUUCGGUCCUAGUAGUAUGAUACUUAGUUCAUUUAGGAACUUCCUUUUUUAAUGGCUAAGAAAACAUUUUAGCUACUAAAUGAUAUGCAAAGAUAACUUUCCAAAUUUAAGCUGUACUCAAAAAUCCACAGAAUCUGCAAAACUCUCAAGUUUCUAUAUUUAAAUAGAAAUGUGUGUUGAUAUACAUACUUUAAUCAGUCAUUUCUUACUUUCAAUAUAUUUUAUUCUGAUGAAGUUACAAAAGUAGAUACAAAACACUUUUUUUUAAAGUACAGUUAACUGACUUAGAAAAAUAGAUAAAGCCCCUAAGGAUUUUAAAACACAACAUAAAUUUUUAUGUAAAGAACAUUUAAAAAUAUUUUAGAUGGUAACCAAAACUAACUUACACAAACUAUUUUUGAUGUAGAAUAGAAUGCUGUUCUAUAAUAAGAAGUCUAUAGCACACUGGUAAUCCAUUUGGAUCUACAGAAUACUUGUUUGGAAUAGAAUCUGAUAAUGAGAGAAAACCCAAAUGAAUGUCAGUGCAGUUGCUUCAAAAAAAUUACUGCUACCACAUGUAGUAUCAUCCCCCAAGGCCUUUUACAGUCUGAAAUACCAAAAUUGAAAGCAAAAAUAGGAUGACCAAAGGACUACUAUUUUACCUCUUUUCAGAACUCUACAAUAGUAGAAACUAAAUCCCCUUAUGGAUCUCAGGGGGAAAUAAUGUGACUGUUGAAGGUGCUCAGUGUUUGGUGUCCAGGCUGGCAUUUUUCAUGUGAGGGUUUCAUACUGACAGGAGGCAGGCUCCUAAAACAAGGCAGUAGCACCAGCACCACGACUAGGGCUGCUUAACAACAAAUUUCUAGGACUUAUACUCUUUGGGCCUGAUUUGUUAAUGCUUAUGAGGUAAUGAUAUUAUGUUUGAGAAGCUCUACUUCUAGUAUAACCUCAAUGCUCAGAGAGAAAGCCAACAACACAAUCAGGAAACCACAAUAUUGACAAAACUUAGUAUUACCACCAAGAUUGUUCCUCUUGCCUUGGCACUACUAAAAAACUUUACCUUUGUUACUAAAGUCAUGGUGAAUACAGAUUUUGCAUUUCUCAUGUAAGCAGCUAUAUAAGCUAGGGUUCUACAAGCCUUAGAUGAAAGGAAAUACUUUGCUGGAAGCCCUGUAAAAAUCACUUUAUUCACAAUCUGAGGAAUGAAAGACAAAUUUGGCUGUCAAUACAAAAACUGUAUUACAAGGAAGUUCAGCUGUUUAAAAAUCUGCACAUCACUGUCCAAGUGUUUUUUGAAGGCCUGAAAAUUAAAGCACCAUAGGAUUAACUGCAUAAUUUAGCAAGCACUCUCCACCCCAUGACCGUCUUCAUGUAUGCAGAGCAGAGAUCAGACACUGAGAGGAGAUGGCUCCUGAUUAGCAAGGGGGAAGGGAGUGAGUGUUAUGGAACAGGCAAACCUUGGGCAUGGAGAGAUAAAAGUGAGAAGAGUCAAAAAGAUUGAUUUCUAUAGGCUGGGCGCAGUGGCUCAUGCCUAUAAUCCCAGCACUUUGGGAGGCUGAGGCGGGCAGAUUGCGAGGUCAGGAGAUGGAGACCAUCCUGGCUAACACAGUGAAACCCCAUCUCUACUAAAAAUACAAAAAAUUAGCCAGGCGUGACUAAAAAUACAAACAUUAGCUGGGCAUGGUGGCGGGCACCUGUCGUUCCAGCUACUCAGGAGAGGCUGGGGCAGAAUGGCGUGAACCCAGGAGGCAGAGCUUGCAGUGAGCCGAGAUCCCGCCACUGUACUCCAGCCUGGGCGACAGAGUGAGACUCUGUCUCAAAAAAAAAAAAAAAAAAGAUUGAUUUUGUCAAACUGUUAUCAAAGGUUAACCCUCUAGCCAACUCAGGAAGGCGCCAUCCUCUUCCCAUUAUCUCCCCUUCUCCAAUUCUCCUCCUCCCCUUGGCUCCCCAGCCUUGGAGGUAAACACUAAUAUUUUGGUGCACUGUUGGUUAAGCCAGAUUGGCUUGGGAACCUCGUAAUGUUUUUAUUUU
Molecule: long non-coding RNA, 6555 nt
Organism: Symphalangus syndactylus (siamang)
Lineage: Eukaryota; Metazoa; Chordata; Mammalia; Primates; Hylobatidae
Source: RefSeq, a predicted model, not a curated record